Otolemur garnettii (small-eared galago) is the source of this 164-nucleotide small nuclear RNA. Its record names the gene U1. It matches the Rfam family "U1 spliceosomal RNA". Rfam says of the family: U1 is a small nuclear RNA (snRNA) component of the spliceosome (involved in pre-mRNA splicing). The record is from Ensembl. NCBI's taxonomy places the organism in Eukaryota, Metazoa, Chordata, Mammalia, Primates, Galagidae.
AUACUUACCUGGCAGGGGAGAUACCAUGAUCAUGAAGGUGGUUUUCUCAGGGUGAGGCUCAUCCAUUGCACUCUGGCUGUGCUGACCCCUGUGAUUUCCCCAAAUGUGGGAAAUUCAACUGCAUAAUUUGUGGUAGUGGGGGACUCCGUUCGCGCUAUCCCCUG